UGAGGAACAUGACUUUCGGCGGGGGAUAGCCGGCCCAACGGCCGGGUAAUACCGCGUACGACCUUUUGGGGACAUCCCUGAUUGGUGAAAGCAGCAAUGCGCCGAAAGAGUGCCUCGCGGCCUAUCAGCUAGUUGGUGGGGUAAUGGCUCACCAAGGCAACGACGGGUAGCUGGUCUGAGAGGAUGGCCAGCCACAUUGGGACUGAGACACGGCCCAGACCUCCGUACGGGAGG
RNAcentral lists this ribosomal RNA (234 nucleotides) under uncultured bacterium. RNAcentral's name for it is "partial 16S ribosomal RNA". It matches the Rfam family "Bacterial small subunit ribosomal RNA", at positions 118 to 347 of the family's 1533-position model. The record is from RNAcentral.